This 514-nucleotide small RNA is filed under the name Histoplasma capsulatum. RNAcentral describes it as "hypothetical RNA". RNAcentral also lists the same sequence under 1 other name. The record is from RNAcentral. Lineage: Eukaryota; Fungi; Ascomycota; Eurotiomycetes; Onygenales; Ajellomycetaceae.
UGGCACACACAGAAGAACACACAGAGUGAUCAGCUCCGCGAUCACACAGCUAUGCACGGGAAAGGUUGACCUGCAUGAAUGUGGACAUGGAUUGCAGACCGUACGGCACAUCCCCGUGGAAUGCUGAAACUGAGCUGAAGAACAACAUCAAGCGCAUACUUUGCAACCCAUCAAUGGCAGUAUAAGCAGCAAAAUGGAUCUCAAGGACAGGGCUUCUGAAUCAAUUCCGGGGCAGUUCCACCCACAGUGCUCCAAUAUCAUAUAUCUAGUAGAUAGAAGUUGAGGAGGGCCAAGCAAGACCUGACAAGGCAGAGAUACAGAACUGGGAGGAAGGCUACAAGUAUGGAAGCUCGUGGGCAAGGAGUUGUUUCUACAAAGCAACCUGUUUGUCUGUGGACCUCUGCAGGAAUUGCCCGCUUCUGAAGGGUGACUGUAUCUGUAUUUUAGUCAUGCGUUGCAUAGCUGCCAAGGGCAGCUGGGUUAGUCUAUGAACAAAUCAAUCUAUCAAUGGCUG